UGAGUCGGUCGGAUGGUUACUCUUGGCCUGUGUUUGCAGCCCGAGAGAGGAAAGUCCGGGCACCGCAGAACAGGAUGUCCCCUAACGCGGGGAGGUUCGCAGCAGCGGAUCAUGGAAAGUGCAGCAGAAAGUAAACCGCCCCGCUUUUAGCGGGGUAAGGGUGAAAGGGUGGUGUAAGAGACCACCAGAUCCUGAACAAAUUCAGGAUGCUUGUAAACCCCAUCCGGUGCAAGAUCGAAUAGGCUUCGAGAUGUUGUUCGCAUCGCUAGCCUGUCUGCCGUAGCGUAGCGCAGGCUGAAGGAGCGGGUAGGUUGCUCGACCACGAUGGUAACAUUGUGGCUAGAUCAAUGACCAUCCCUUUGGUUUUGAUUCGUCAAACCAAAGGACAGAACUCGGCUUAUAGAUCGACUCAAUUU
Molecule: RNase P RNA, 416 nt
Filed under: Fidelibacterota bacterium
Lineage: Bacteria; Pseudomonadati; Fidelibacterota
Description: RNase P RNA component class A
Rfam family: Bacterial RNase P class A
About the family: Ribonuclease P (RNase P) is a ubiquitous endoribonuclease, found in archaea, bacteria and eukarya as well as chloroplasts and mitochondria. Its best characterised activity is the generation of mature 5'-ends of tRNAs by cleaving the 5'-leader elements of precursor-tRNAs. Cellular RNase Ps are ribonucleoproteins.
Source: RNAcentral